CCUACGGGGGGCAGCAGUGAGGAAUAUUGGUCAAUGGCCGCAGGGCUGAACCAGCCAAGUCGCGUGAGGGAUGACGGUCCUAUGGAUUGUAAACCUCUUUUGUCAGGGAGCAAAGGGCGCCACGUGUGGCGCUUUGCGAGUACCUGAAGAAAAAGCAUCGGCUAACUCCGUGCCAGCAGCCGCGGUAAUACGGAGGAUGCGAGCGUUAUCCGGAUUUAUUGGGUUUAAAGGGUGCGCAGGCGGAAUGUCAAGUCAGCGGUAAAAUUUCGGGGCUCAACCCCGUCGUGCCGUUGAGACUGGGGUUCUUGAGUGAGCGAGAGGUAUGCGGAAUGCGUGGUGUAGCGGUGAAAUGCAGAGAUAUCACGCAGAACUCCGAUUGCGAAGGCAGCAUACCGGCGCUCAACUGACGCUCAUGCACGAAAGCGUGGGUAUCGAACAGGAUUAGAUACCCGUGUAGUC
Molecule: ribosomal RNA, 459 nt
Filed under: uncultured bacterium
Lineage: Bacteria
Description: partial 16S ribosomal RNA
Rfam family: Bacterial small subunit ribosomal RNA
Source: RNAcentral